RNAcentral lists this ribosomal RNA (739 nucleotides) under uncultured bacterium. RNAcentral's name for it is "bacterial SSU rRNA". It matches the Rfam family "Bacterial small subunit ribosomal RNA", at positions 48 to 755 of the family's 1533-position model. The record is from RNAcentral.
GCUAUACAUGCAGUCGAGCGAGCCGAACUAAUUGAUUACCUUCGGGUAUGAAGUUAGGGAAGCGAGCGGCGGAUGGGUGAGUAACACGUGGGUAACCUACCCUAUAGUCUGGGAUACCACUUGGAAACGGGUGCUAAUACCGGAUAAAAGGAGAGAUCACAUGAUUUCUUUUUGAAAGGCGGCGUAAGCUGUCGCUAAAGGAUGGACCCGCGGUGCAUUAGCUAGUUGGUAAGGUAACGGCUUACCAAGGCAACGAUGCAUAGCCGAGUUGAGAGACUGAUCGGCCACAUUGGGACUGAGACACGGCCCAAACUCCUACGGGAGGCAGCAGUAGGGAAUCUUCCACAAUGGACGCAAGUCUGAUGGAGCAACGCCGCGUGAGUGAAGAAGGUUUUCGGAUCGUAAAGCUCUGUUGUUGGUGAAGAAAGAUAGUGAGAGUAACUGCUCAUUAUUUGCCGGUAAUCAGCCAGAAAGUCACGGCUAACUACGUGCCAGCAGCCGCGGUAAUACGUAGGUGGCAAGCGUUGUCCGGAUUUAUUGGGCGUAAAGCGAGCGCAGGCGGAAAGAUAAGUCAGAUGUGAAAGCCCUCGGCUUAACCGAGGAAUAGCAUCGGAAACUGUCUUUCUUGAGUGCAGAAGAGGAGAGUGGAACUCCAUGUGUAGCGGUGGAAUGCGUAGAUAUAUGGAAGAACACCAGUGGCGAAGGCGGCUCUCUGGUCUGUAACUGACGCUGAGGCUCG